UUCCUAUUAGCUUAAGGGUAAAGCAAGAUACUUCUAAUAUCUUGAUUUAGGUUCAAAUCCUAGAUAGGAAU
This 71-nucleotide transfer RNA is filed under the name Acanthothecis fontana. Its description in RNAcentral is "tRNA-Arg". It matches the Rfam family "tRNA". Rfam says of the family: Transfer RNA (tRNA) molecules are approximately 80 nucleotides in length. Their secondary structure includes four short double-helical elements and three loops (D, anti-codon, and T loops). Further hydrogen bonds mediate the characteristic L-shaped molecular structure. tRNAs have two regions of fundamental functional importance: the anti-codon, which is responsible for specific mRNA codon recognition, and the 3' end, to which the tRNAs corresponding amino acid is attached (by aminoacyl-tRNA synthetases). tRNAs cope with the degeneracy of the genetic code in two manners: having more than one tRNA (with a specific anti-codon) for a particular amino acid; and 'wobble' base-pairing, i.e. permitting non-standard base-pairing at the 3rd anti-codon position. The record is from RNAcentral. Lineage: Eukaryota; Fungi; Ascomycota; Lecanoromycetes; Ostropales; Graphidaceae.